Molecule: long non-coding RNA, 721 nt
Filed under: Mytilus galloprovincialis (Mediterranean mussel)
Lineage: Eukaryota; Metazoa; Mollusca; Bivalvia; Mytilida; Mytilidae
Source: RNAcentral
UGAAAUAAGUAUUAUUCUGCACAGUUUGUAAAAAUCCCAAAGUUAUUGUCAUAUCACAACAGGGAGUAAAUUGAUAAUGAAUUUAUGUAAAUAAAAGCACAUGGUAAUUAAUCUAAAUAUAUAGGCAUUUGGGAGGGGCUUAUAUGUCAAUCAUCUGUUGAUACCAGUGUCCAGCUGUUAAUCCCUGACCACAAGAUAAAUAUUGUAGUCUUAUCAUCAUGUCAUUGUUUUGCAACACAAAUUAUUUAUAUAACAUGGAAGUGAACAAAGAAAAAGAAAAAAAAACUAAAGGGAAAAUCUACCAAAAAGAAAAAAGGUACUAUGGAAAAGAGUGGGGAAGUAUUUUUGAAAGCCUCUGACUGCCUGUUUAAAUUUCUUCUCUUAGAUCUUCUUCAUCUAAAUACAGUUUUAUGAAUUUUAACUAAUUUUCAGUUGAUGUGUAUUUUUUCAGUCCCAUUUAAUUAAAUGUAUUUUCAAGAAAAGGGUGGUCUUGAUCUUUUUAUGAACAUGUUUUUUUAUGCACACUUUUAAUGUUUAGCUAAUUUCAGACAUAGUUUAUUUCUUUUUUAAAAUUCAAAUGAAAAUUAUUCUUUAUACAUUUAUUAAAUGCAGCUGGUCAAGAAUGUUAUUCUCUUAUCUGAGACUGAAAGAGGCGGAGCUUUGUCUAUAUUUAAUUACUUCAUCACAGAUGUUGGUCAUAUCUGUGACGUCAAACUCCCGC